GGCUCAGAUUGAACGCUGGCGGCAUGCCUUACACAUGCAAGUCGAGCGGCAGCGCGGGGGCAACCCUGGCGGCGAGCGGCGAACGGGUGAGUAAUACAUCGGAACGUGUCCUGUCGUGGGGGAUAACCAGUCGAAAGACUGGCUAAUACCGCAUGAGAUCGAAAGAUGAAAGCGGGGGACCGCAAGGCCUCGCGCGAUUGGAGCGGCCGAUGUCGGAUUAGCUAGUUGGCGGGGUAAAAGCCCACCAAGGCGACGAUCCGUAGCUGGUUUGAGAGAACGACCAGCCACACUGGGACUGAGACACGGCCCAGACUCCUACGGGAGGCAGCAGUGGGGAAUUUUGGACAAUGGGCGCAAGCCUGAUCCAGCCAUGCCGCGUGUGUGAAGAAGGCCUUCGGGUUGUAAAGCACUUUCGGCCGGAACGAAAUCGCGCGGGUGAACAUCCCGCGUGGAUGACGGUACCGGAAGAAGAAGCACCGGCUAACUACGUGCCAGCAGCCGCGGUAAUACGUAGGGUGCGAGCGUUAAUCGGAAUUACUGGGCGUAAAGGGUGCGCAGGCGGCCCCGCAUGUCAGGCGUGAAAUCCCCGGGCUUAACCUGGGAAUGGCGCUUGAAACUACGGGGCUGGAGUAUGGCAGAGGGAGGUGGAAUUCCACGUGUAGCGGUGAAAUGCGUAGAGAUGUGGAGGAACACCGAUGGCGAAGGCAGCCUCCUGGGCCAAUACUGACGCUCAUGCACGAAAGCGUGGGGAGCAAACAGGAUUAAAUACCCUGGUAGUCCACGCCCUAAACGAUGAUGACUAGUUGUUGGAGGAGUUAAAUCCUUUAGUAACGCAGCUAACGCGAGAAGUCAUCCGCCUGGGGGAGUACGGUCGCAAGAUUAAA
RNAcentral lists this ribosomal RNA (884 nucleotides) under uncultured bacterium. Its description in RNAcentral is "bacterial SSU rRNA". It matches the Rfam family "Bacterial small subunit ribosomal RNA", at positions 21 to 898 of the family's 1533-position model. The record is from RNAcentral.